Salvelinus namaycush (lake trout) is the source of this 301-nucleotide long non-coding RNA. RefSeq lists it as uncharacterized. The transcript is spliced from 4 exons. NCBI's taxonomy places the organism in Eukaryota, Metazoa, Chordata, Actinopteri, Salmoniformes, Salmonidae. The record is from RefSeq and is a predicted model, not a curated record.
UGUUGUCGUAGGGCUGGGAGGAGGACCUGCUGCCUGAGGAGAGGGAGGUUCCUCUGCUAAACCUCUACCUUACCACCAAGAGAGUGGAGGACAUCGCCCUGAGGCUCGUCUCCCUGCGCCAGGCCUUCACUACCCUGCUUGGUUCCACCCUGAGCAGGAACCAUCUGUUUGUGGCGGGAAAGGUCCUCCUGGGCGCACUGGUUCAGGCCAACCACAUGGACGAGGCCAAGUUCAUCCGUACCUAUACGGACUUUGUGGACUACCUGAGUGACCCCUCCAAGCGGAAUGACAUGGAGAGGGA